UCUGGUGACUCUGAGCUGCCAAUAACCUUUCCUAUAUAAGCUUAACCUUCACUACAAGAAAAAGACUUAUUAGCGACAAACGUUUGGCGACGGGGUACAAAUCUGGUCCUUAAAAGUAUACCUAUAGGGACGAGAUUUUUUCUUAAUCUUUAAUAUUCAAUUUUAACUUUGAGAUAAGCGAAGGGAUUAAAUCUGGUCGUUGAAGUUAUUGAUAUCCGGUCCCUAAUUCCUAAAUUGAGUGGGACAAAAGGCGCCUCUUCUAAUUUACCUUAUUAAAAAAAUAAAGAAAUAAAACAAAUUCUCCAAUUAAAAUGUUGCUCUCUCAAAAUAUUGUUCGUCUCACUCUCUCUUUCAAAGAGAAGAUGUAAAACCCUAAAAUCCCAAAUCUCAAAAUCUAACCAUGGCAUUUCUCGCUCGGCUCGAAUCCACAACCAUCGAGUAUUAUAGUCAUGCAGAUUUGAGUAAACAAAGUGGAGAUACAAAAGUUGAAGAAUUCCUACAAGUUGACAGUUGAUUAUCAUUUUUCUAGGACUGUUAAGCAAAAGCUAACAUUAUUUGAUAAGGAUGAUAUAUUUGUUUUUAAGCUGAGGGGUUGUUACACAAUGUAGUGUUUAUAGUGCUACUUUAUUUCCUUUUUGUGUAAUUAAUUAAAAUAUAUAAAUGAAUGGAUGAUGUUAUUUAUAA
This is a long non-coding RNA of Lycium ferocissimum, 684 nucleotides long. RefSeq lists it as uncharacterized. The record is from RefSeq and is a predicted model, not a curated record. The transcript is spliced from 2 exons. NCBI's taxonomy places the organism in Eukaryota, Viridiplantae, Streptophyta, Magnoliopsida, Solanales, Solanaceae.